GAACUGGCGCUGGUUCGGUAUCGCGAGUCCGUACGUAUUAACAACUUCCUUCGGGAAGUGCAUAAAGUGGCGCACGGGUGAGUAACACGUAAGUAAUCUACCCUCGAGUGGGGAAUAACGUUCGGAAACGGACGCUAAUACCGCAUAACGCAGCGGCACCGCAAGGUGACAGUUGUUAAAGGAGCAACCCGCUUGAGGAGGAGCUUGCGGCAGAUUAGCUAGUUGGUAGGGUAAUGGCUUACCAAGGCUACGAUCUGUAUCCGGUCUAAGAGGACGGUCGGACACACUGACACUGAAUAACGGGUCAGACUCCUACGGGAGGCAGCAGUCGGGAAUUUUGGGCAAUGGGCGAAAGCCUGACCCAGCAACGCCGCGUGAAGGAUGAAGUAUUUCGGUAUGUAAACUUCGAAAGAAUAGGAAGAAUAAAUGACGGUACUAUUUAUAAGCUCCGGCUAACUACGUGCCAGCAGCCGCGGUAAUACGUAGGGAGCAAGCGUUGUUCGGAUUUACUGGGCGUAAAGGGCGCGUAGGCGGCGCGGUAAGUCACUUGUGAAAUCUCUGAGCUUAACUCAGAACGGCCAAGUGAUACUGCAGUGCUAGAGUGCAGAAAGGGCAAUCGGAAUUCUUGGUGUAGCGGUGAAGUGCGUAGAUAUCAAGAGGAACACCUGAGGCGAAGGCGGUUUGCUAGGCUGACACUGACGCUGAGGCGCGAAGGCCAGGGGGAGCAAACGGGAUUAGAUACCCGGUAGUCCUGCUCUAACGAUGAAUACUUGGUGUCUGGAGUUCAAUACUCGGGUGCCGUCGCUACGUUUAGUAUCGCCUGGG
Molecule: ribosomal RNA, 825 nt
Filed under: uncultured bacterium
Lineage: Bacteria
Description: bacterial SSU rRNA
Rfam family: Bacterial small subunit ribosomal RNA
Source: RNAcentral